AGAACGAACGCUGGUAGCGUGGAUUAGGCAUGCAAGUCGAACGGGAUCCGGGAGGUAGCAAUAUCGACCGGUGAGAGUGGCGGAUUGGGAGGAACACGUGAGCAACCUGGCCCUGGAGUGGGGGAAAACCGUUGGAAACGACGGCUAAUACCGCAUGUGGCGCCCGGAGACAUCUCCGGCGCGCCAAAGGGGGCCCGCAAGGGCUCCCGCUCCUCGAGGGGCUCGCGCACCAUCAGCUUGUUGGCGGGUAACGGCCCACCAAGGCCUACGGUUAGCUGGUCUGAGAGGAUGACCAGCCCCACUGGGACUGAGAUACUGCCCAGACUCCUACGGGAGGCUGCAGUCGAGGAUCAUUUGCAAUGGGCGGAAGCCUGACAAUGCGACGCUGCGUGGAGGAAUGAAGGCCUUCGGGUCGUAAACUCCUGUCAUGGGGGAACAGGCGAUGGCACCCAACACGUGCCAAAGUUGAGUGUACUCCAAGAGGAAGGGACGGCUAACUCUGUGCCAGCAGCCGC
Molecule: ribosomal RNA, 515 nt
Filed under: uncultured bacterium
Lineage: Bacteria
Description: bacterial SSU rRNA
Rfam family: Bacterial small subunit ribosomal RNA
Source: RNAcentral